UACGGGGGGGGCAAGCGUUGUUCGGAAUUACUGGGCGUAAAGGGCGCGUAGGCGGUUCGCUAAGUUGGAUGUGAAAACUCUGGGCUCAACCCAGAGCCUGCAUCCAAAACUGGCGGGCUAGAGUUCUGGAGGGGGUAGCGGAAUUCCUGGUGUAGCGGUGAAAUGCGUAGAUAUCAGGAGGAACACCGGUGGCGAAGGCGGGUCUCUGGGCAACAACUGACGCUGAGGAGCGAAAGCGUGGGGAGCGAACAGG
RNAcentral lists this ribosomal RNA (253 nucleotides) under uncultured bacterium. Its description in RNAcentral is "partial 16S ribosomal RNA". It matches the Rfam family "Bacterial small subunit ribosomal RNA", at positions 524 to 776 of the family's 1533-position model. The record is from RNAcentral.